RNAcentral lists this ribosomal RNA (383 nucleotides) under Rhipicephalus turanicus. RNAcentral describes it as "partial 12S ribosomal RNA". Lineage: Eukaryota; Metazoa; Arthropoda; Arachnida; Ixodida; Ixodidae. The record is from RNAcentral.
AAACUAGGAUUAGAUACCCUAUUAUUUAAGAGAAUAAACUAAAUUGUAAGUAAUAAAGAUUAUGAAAGCAAAAAAUUAUGGCGGUAUUUUAAGCUUUUCAGAGGAAUUUGCUCUUUAAUGGAUAAAACACCUAAAUCUUACUUAAAUUUGUUAAUUCAAUUUGUAUACCACUAUAAAAACAAUUUAUAACUUUAAUUGUUGAUAUUUAUUAAAUUAAAAUAUAUUAAGUCAAGGUGCAGUAAAAAUUUAAGGAUGAAGUGAAUUACAUUACUUUUUAGAGAAAUAAAUUUAAAAUAAUAUUUAGGAUUUGAAAGUAAAAUUAAAAUAUAAUGUUAAUUUGAAUUAAGCUCUAAAAUAUGUACACAUCGCCCGUCGCUCUCAUU